Molecule: ribosomal RNA, 465 nt
Filed under: uncultured bacterium
Lineage: Bacteria
Description: partial 16S ribosomal RNA
Rfam family: Bacterial small subunit ribosomal RNA
Source: RNAcentral
CCUACGGGAGAGCAGCAGUAGGGAAUUUUCGGCAAUGGGGGGAACCCUGACCGAGCAACGCCGCGUGAAGGAAGAAGGAAUUCGUUCUGUAAACUUCUGUUAUAAAGGAAGAAAGACGGAUGGAGGAAAUGACAUCCGAGUGACGGUACUUUAUGAGAAAGCCACGGCUAACUACGUGCCAGCAGCCGCGGUAAUACGUAGGUGGCAAGCGUUAUCCGGAAUUAUGGGGCGAAAAGAGGGAGCAGGCGGCAGCAAAGGCCUGUGGGGAAAGACUGAAGCUUAACUUCAGUAAGCCAUAGAAACCGGGCGGCUAGAGUGCAGGAGAGGAUCGUGGAAUUCCAUGUGUAGCGGUGAAAUGCGUAGAUAGAUGGAGGAACACCAGUGGCGAAGGCGACGAUCUGGCCUGCAACUGACGCUCAGUCCCGAAAGCGUGGGGAGCAAAUAGGAUUAGAUACCCUGGUAGUC